RNAcentral lists this ribosomal RNA (463 nucleotides) under uncultured bacterium. Its description in RNAcentral is "partial 16S ribosomal RNA". It matches the Rfam family "Bacterial small subunit ribosomal RNA", at positions 28 to 507 of the family's 1533-position model. The record is from RNAcentral.
GAUGAACGCUGACAGAAUGCUUAACACAUGCAAGUCGAUGGGGAAGUGGUGCUUGCACCAUGGCAACCAUGGCGGACGGGUGGGUAACGCGUAAGGGACUUACCUGCAGGACUGGGAUAACAGGGGGAAACUCCUGACAAGACCGGAUAAUGUCAUGGAGCUGCAUGGCUUUAUGAUGAAAGGAGACGCCUGCGGAGAGCCUUGCGUCCUAUUAGCUAGUUGGUGAGGUAAUGGCUCACCAAGGCGAAGAUAGGUAGCCGGCCUGAGAGGGUGGACGGCCACAAGGGGACUGAGAUACGGCCCUUACUCCUACGGGAGGCAGCAGUGGGGAAUAUUGGACAAUGGGGGCAACCCUGAUCCAGCAAUUCUGUGUGCACGAAGAAGGUUUUCGGAUUGUAAAGUGCUUUCAGCAGGGAAGAAGUAAGUGACGGUACCUGCAGAAGAAGCGACGGCUAAAUACGUG